GAUGAACGCUAGCGGCAGGCCUAAUACAUGCAAGUCGAACGGGUGGUCGCAAGACCACUAGUGGCGCACGGGUGCGUAACGCGUAACCAACCUGCCCCGAUCUGGGGGAUAGCCCGCCGAAAGGCGGAUUAAUACCGCAUAUACCCGCAGCCUGGCAUCAGGCAACGGGGAAAGAUUUAUUGGAUCGGGAUGGGGUUGCGUGACAUUAGCUAGUUGGCGGGGUAAGGGCCCACCAAGGCGACGAUGUCUAGGGGACCUGAGAGGGUGAUCCCCCACACUGGCACUGAGAUACGGGCCAGACUCCUACGGGAGGCAGCAGUAGGGAAUAUUGGGCAAUGGGCGAGAGCCUGACCCAGCCAUGCCGCGUGCCGGAUGAAGGCCUUCUGGGUUGUAAACGGCUUUUCUCAGGGAAGAAAAAGACCUUGCGAGGUGAACUGACGGUACCUGAGGAAUAAGCACCGGCUAACUCCGUG
This 473-nucleotide ribosomal RNA is filed under the name uncultured bacterium. Its description in RNAcentral is "partial 16S ribosomal RNA". It matches the Rfam family "Bacterial small subunit ribosomal RNA", at positions 28 to 507 of the family's 1533-position model. The record is from RNAcentral.